Molecule: long non-coding RNA, 1197 nt
Filed under: Panax ginseng (ginseng)
Lineage: Eukaryota; Viridiplantae; Streptophyta; Magnoliopsida; Apiales; Araliaceae
Description: long non-coding RNA (PGIN_LNC015628)
Source: RNAcentral
ACUCCAUUAAAUAUAAAAAAUUACUGACGUAACUGUUGUGGGACAUAAUAAAGUUGAUGUGUAUAAAAAAAUUAUUUUUUAUUUUGUUAUUAAAUAUUUUUGAUAUAUUUGAGGGUAAAAUCGUCACACAACAAUCUUUUAUACAUUCUGAGUAAUAAAAAACAGCAAAACAUAAGAAUCGAUCAAAGAGCAAGCCUUCUUGUCUCUUUCCAGAUCUUAAUUUUUUCUUAUCAGGACCUGGGUUUGGGGUUACGUGUUGGUUGAUGGUGCUUGAGGUUUGGAAGAUGGAUCUGUUCGGAUCUAACUGUGAUGGUAGUGGUCUGAUACAUAUUAAUAAACAAGGUAAACCCAAAUUUAGGUUUAUGUUCCAUCACAAUUCAGUCUAUUCGAAGAAUCCGAGUAGUCGACGGAGGCCUGGAUCUUGGUUCGGCGUGCUGGACUUCGAGCAUCUCGUCUUAGAGCAGUGAGGGAAAGUAGGAUUGAGAGGAAGUGAAUCAUAGCGGUGGUUUGUGAAGGAAGGAGAGGAGAGAGAGAUAUAUAUUUGGAUGAGUUUACAGAAGGAGAGCAUUGUCAUGGUGUUGGUUUUGGUCCUGAUGCUUUAUUUUUUGUCCCUUCCGCCUCUUCCGCCUCCUCGCGGUGGUGGUUUUGGUCCUGCUGCUAUAUUUUUUGUCCUUUGACGAAGAAAUGAAACGAGUUGGGUUUGAGGGGUAAAAAAGAGGGUUGAUCUGAUGGGUAUAAUUUGAUUGGGAUUUGGACCAACCGAUGUCCAGAUUGAGGAUUGGGUUUGGGUUUUGUUGUGAGCAUGAAGAAAUUGGAUGGUAUAGAUUUUGGUUGCAAAUCUUAAUCUUCAAUAUUUGGCUAAAAGGAAUUUUUAUGAUUUUAGAUUUUGUUGUUUUAGAUUUUUUGUUAUUUUUUGAUCUAAGAUGGUAUAGAUUUUAAAUAUUUUUGUUGUUUUUAUUUAGUUUAAAUGAUUAAUAUAAGUGAUUUGAUGAAUUUGUAAUAAAUGUGUAAAUAGAUAUUAAAAUAAUUUUUUUUAUUUACACAUCAGCUGGUGAUGGCUCUAUUUUGAGGGUCACGUCAGCAAUUUCUGGCGUGGUGGCCCAAUUUGUUAUAAUUGAAAAAAAUUGAUAGUUCAAUCACCUAAUUGAAAAAAAUUAAAACUUUGAUCCCCGAAGUGGAAUAUGACCUAUAGUUUAG